This 468-nucleotide ribosomal RNA is filed under the name uncultured bacterium. Its description in RNAcentral is "partial 16S ribosomal RNA". It matches the Rfam family "Bacterial small subunit ribosomal RNA", at positions 28 to 507 of the family's 1533-position model. The record is from RNAcentral.
GACGAACGCUGGCGGCGUGCUUAACACAUGCAAGUCGAACGGAAAGGCCCUGCUUUUGUGGGGUGCUCGAGUGGCGAACGGGUGAGUAACACGUGAGUAACCUGCCCUUGACUUUGGGAUAACUUCAGGAAACUGGGGCUAAUACCGGAUAGGAUCUCCUGCUGCAUGGUGGGGGUUGGAAAGUUUCGGCGGUUGGGGAUGGACUCGCGGCUUAUGAGCUUGUUGGGGGGGUAGUGGCUUACCAAGGCUUUGACGGGUAGCCGGCCUGAGAGGGUGACCGGCCACAUGGGGACUGAGGUACGGCGCAGACUCCUACGGGAGGCAGCAAGGGGGAAUAUUGCACAAUGGGCGGAAGCCUGAUGCAGCAACGUCGCGUGCGGGAUGACGGCCUUCGGGUUGUAAACCGCUUUCGCCUGUGACGAAGCGUGAGUGACGGUAAUGGGUAAAGAAGCACCGGCUAACUACGUG